AUGGCUCGCAAGAAGGUGACCCUCCAGUACAUCCCCAACGACUCGACCCGGCGUGGCACCUUCAAGAAGCGCCGUCGGGGCCUGAUGAAGAAGGCCAGCGAGUUGGCCAUCUUGUGUGACGUCAGGGCGUGCGUGCUGGUGUACGGCGAGGGAGAGACGAUGCCGGAGGUGUUCCCAUCGCACGCUGGGGCGGCGAAAAUCCUGAACAUAUUCAGGAAGAUGCCGGAGCUAGAGCAGUGCAAGAAGAUGAUGAACCAGGAGGGCUUUCUCCGCCAGCGCAUCGACAAGCUCCGGGACCAGGUCCACAAGUUCGGGCGCGAGAGCCGGGACCGCGAGAUUAGGGUCCUCCUGCACAAGGCCAUGCGCGGCAGCCUCCCUGGCCUCGUCGGCCUCAACAUUGAGGAGCUCACCAGCGUCGGCUGGAAGGUCGAAAUGCUCCUCAAGGGCAUCGGCGAUCGCAUCGCGAAACUCCGGGGGCAGCCGCCGACUCCAUACCUGACCGGCAACUUGGACAUGGGGUCUUCUGCGGUAUAUCAGUCGCUGCCUACACAGGAGGGCUGUCUUGACAUGGUUAGAUCCGGAGGGGACCUCGGUGCUCUUGUCUGUAGUGGCUACUCUGGUGGCCACGAUGCCGCAAGCACCAGCGCCAGCGUCGGCUACUCCGACGGUGAUAUGAUGCAACCCUUUGAUCUAGGGUUCGGUUGGCAGUGGGGCACCGAUCUUGGAGCAUCUUCGAGUCCUUUCCCUCCCAUGUAG
RNAcentral lists this ribosomal RNA (756 nucleotides) under Triticum aestivum (bread wheat). Its description in RNAcentral is "partial small subunit ribosomal RNA". Lineage: Eukaryota; Viridiplantae; Streptophyta; Magnoliopsida; Poales; Poaceae. The record is from RNAcentral.